AACCGAAUUAAAGGGGCAUUUCUGCUAUAUAAAUGGCACCGGUGGGACAGAGAAAUCAGUAUCAUUUGUGGCCAGAGCUAAGGAAUGGAGAUUUGAGCAUCAAAGGGAAAAACAUCAAAAUAUCAAUUCUAUUGUUUUAAAUAAUUUUACUCUUGAAAUUCUGCAUGUUAAUCCAGACAUACCUUUAAAUGGAUGCAUUUAAUAAAGUAAUGUGGAGCUGAAA
This is a long non-coding RNA of Hypanus sabinus (Atlantic stingray), 223 nucleotides long. RefSeq lists it as uncharacterized. NCBI's taxonomy places the organism in Eukaryota, Metazoa, Chordata, Chondrichthyes, Myliobatiformes, Dasyatidae. The transcript has 2 exons. The record is from RefSeq and is a predicted model, not a curated record.